AUUGAACGCUGGCGGCAGGCCUAGCACAUGCAAGUCGAGCGGAUGAAGGGAGCUUGCUCCUGGAUUCAGCGGCGGACGGGUGAGUAAUGCCUAGGAAUCUGCCUGGUAGUGGGGGAUAACGUCCGGAAACGGGAGCUAAUACCGCAUACGUCAUGAGGGAGAAAGUGGGGGAUCUUCGGACCUCACGCUAUCAGAUGAGCCUAGGUCGGAUUAGCUAGUUGGUGGGGUAAAGGCCUACCAAGGCGACGAUCCGUAACUGGUCUGAGAGGAUGAUCAGUCACACUGGAACUGAGACACGGUCCAGACUCCUACGGGAGGCAGCAGUGGGGAAUAUUGGACAAUGGGCGAAAGCCUGAUCCAGCCAUGCCGCGUGUGUGAAGAAGGUCUUCGGAUUGUAAAGCACUUUAAGUUGGGAGGAAGGGCAGUAAGUUAAUACCUUGCUGUUUUGACGUUACCAACAGAAUAAGCACCGGCUAACUUCGUG
Molecule: ribosomal RNA, 484 nt
Filed under: uncultured bacterium
Lineage: Bacteria
Description: partial 16S ribosomal RNA
Rfam family: Bacterial small subunit ribosomal RNA
Source: RNAcentral